UUUCCGCAGGUGAACCUGCGGAAGGAUCAUUAAAGAGUAAGGGUCUUCGGGCCCGAUCUCCAACCCUUUGUUUAACUACCAUGUUGCUUUGGCGGGCCCGUCUCACGACCGCCGGAAGUUUGGCUUCGACCAAACUUCUGGCCCGUGCCCGUCAGUGGCCCCUUCAAAUUCUUGAUCAAGUAUGAUGUCUUAGUUAAAAACUUAAUAGUUAAAACUUUCAACAACGGAUCUCUUGGUUCUG
Molecule: unclassified non-coding RNA, 241 nt
Filed under: plant metagenome
Description: partial contains small subunit ribosomal RNA, internal transcribed spacer 1, and 5.8S ribosomal RNA
Source: RNAcentral